Molecule: unclassified non-coding RNA, 730 nt
Filed under: Hevea brasiliensis (rubber tree)
Lineage: Eukaryota; Viridiplantae; Streptophyta; Magnoliopsida; Malpighiales; Euphorbiaceae
Source: RNAcentral
GUUAAUUAUAUAUUUUUUCUUGUAAUAUAUACAAAAAUUAAUUUCUAUACAAAGGUGACCUUUGUUGCACCAUUAUUCCCCUUGAAAUCGAUUGCCUGAACGCCUUGAUCGGACUCGGAAAAUACCAGCCCUUCGCUUUGGAUGAUUUUACGUCAGCAACACCGGAAGCUGACGUCACACCAACCGCCAUAGACCUCGAUUUCCGCAUCAUCCUCCUCCUCUCAUCUUCUUCCUUCUUCUUUUUCCCAUCUUCUUGUUGUAAAAUAGCAAAGUUUCUCUCCACAUCGCCUCUCUUACUCCUGUUACCGCUACUACUGCUAGUUUUGAACAGUGACCAAAACGGAGAUGUCGUCUUUGGGCUUUCUUUGCGGAUAGAGCUAUCAGAGUCAAUCGGUGGCUUUGACCGGAGAAAUGGAAUUGCUAGUGACCUCGACCGGCGGAAGGAAGGCUCGCUCUCGAUCAGAUUGGACACGCGGCCGACAGUUCCGAUUCCUGAGGCGAUUGAUUCGGCAGCGGAAGCGGUGGAGAAUCGAGAGAAAGAAGACGAAGUCGAGGAGGACGUUGUCACCGCGUAGCAAGCACACGGCCGUACGUUGGUGCAGUCCGGGCAGAGGGAAGAGAGUCUCUCCCGGAGGCACACGUGGCAGAUUCCUGUACGGCGGCGCUUCGAAGGGUGUUUCGGACAUUUCCAAACCUCCUCUUCAUCGAUGUAAAGCGCCAUUUUUCGGCC